This 394-nucleotide ribosomal RNA is filed under the name uncultured bacterium. RNAcentral describes it as "partial 16S ribosomal RNA". It matches the Rfam family "Bacterial small subunit ribosomal RNA", at positions 338 to 729 of the family's 1533-position model. The record is from RNAcentral.
CCUACGGGGGGCAGCAGUGAGGAAUAUUGGUCAAUGGGCGCUAGCCUGAACCAGCCAAGUCGCGUGAGGGAUGAAGGUUCUAUGGAUUGUAAACCUCUUUUAUAUGGGAAUAAAGUGCGGGAUGUGUCCUGUUUUGUAUGUACCUUAUGAAUAAGGAUCGGCUAACUCCGUGCCAGCAGCCGCGGUAAUACGGAGGAUCCGAGCGUUAUCCGGAUUUAUUGGGUUUAAAGGGUGCGUAGGCGGGUGUUUAAGUCAGCGGUGAAAGUCUGUGGCUCAACCAUAGAAUUGCCGUUGAAACUGGGAGGCUUGAGUAUGUUAGAGGGAGGCGGAAUGCGUGGUGUAGCGGUGAAAUGCUUAGAUAUCACGAAGAACCCCGAUUGCGAAGGCAGCCUGC